CAUAAUUCAAAUAAUCCAAAAAAAAUAAACCAAAUACCUUCCACCUCAAGCGUUUCACGUCGGGUUCACCAAAUAUGUUGUAUUAUGUGAAGUUUUGAUUGAGAAUGCACCGAGCACUUGGCUAUGGAAGGUAAAAGAAAAUUGCAACAAAAAGUCCUAACAAUCCAAUAGGAUUAUAGAAAAUUUAUAAUUAAACGUUAACAAUCAUAAUCAAACAAUA
Molecule: microRNA precursor, 220 nt
Filed under: Physcomitrium patens
Lineage: Eukaryota; Viridiplantae; Streptophyta; Bryopsida; Funariales; Funariaceae
Description: Physcomitrella patens miR894 stem-loop (ppt-MIR894)
Gene: ppt-MIR894
Source: miRBase by way of RNAcentral